Crotalus tigris (Tiger rattlesnake) is the source of this 4565-nucleotide long non-coding RNA. RefSeq lists it as uncharacterized. The transcript is spliced from 4 exons. The record is from RefSeq and is a predicted model, not a curated record. Lineage: Eukaryota; Metazoa; Chordata; Lepidosauria; Squamata; Viperidae.
UGUAAUCUUAGGUGUCUAGAAUGCAGAGAGCGAUUUUGGAGCAUAAUGGCAGUGGUUGUCUAUUGUCGUUCAGACAUGAGCUGCAUCAGAAAAGGGCUUGUGGGAACUAGAUAAGAGUUGGUCAAAAGUGGGCUAUAAAUCAAACUGAGGCCGUAUUCUGCUGAUUUCACACACACGCUCCCUGGGAAGUGGGGGGAAGUGAUAGAUCUGCAAUUUACUGCUUAUCGCAUCUGCUAGAAGUUUCAUAACACAAAAGCCUGACCUUCAAUGAAUAAACCACCCUCGCUGACUACCUGUUUCAGGCUGCAAAAAAUAUAUAUUAUAUUAUUCUAUGCUCAUCCCAAAGAGCUGCUGGGAGAGAAAGGAUGGGCUGGGGGCGGUGAGCACUGUUCUGAAAAUGGUGUGACAUCUUUUUGGGCUUAACAAGCUCUCGCCUGUCGCUAGCAGCUGUCACUUUAGCUACUUGUAGUCACUUUGCCAUCAAAAUGUGCUGAAUUUAUUAAAAGGAACCAGAUACUUAUGAAACAGGACUAAAAGGUCUACAGGGAGAAAACAGCCGCUCAACCACUAAAAGUCUGCAGAGCAGAAGCCGGUCAGCCAGCCAGCCAACCAGCCAACUAGCCAACCAUUCCACAGUUAUGGAUCACACACCAAAAGUAAUGGAACAUGAACAAGAAGAAAAAGAAUAAAACAUGAAGGUGAAAAGUCAGGAGAUGCUCUCCUCCUAGGCAUAUAAUAAACAAUUGGGAAUUCAAGUCAUUAGGAAAUUCUUGAAAGAUGCAACCAAGAUACAGUUCUCCAAAUUUAUGCUGACUGAAAAUAUAAACAGAGAAUAAGCAAUAGAUGGGAAUGGAUGUCCAAGCUGUAACUACAGUGCUGAUCUUUGAGGAAUCUGCAACUGGAGUAUAUUGCAAUAUAAUUCCAGACAAAUAACAAAUGUGAGGUUAAAAAAGGAUGAGUCACAGUUUGUGGGAUUUCCUAUGGAGUUAUAGCAUUGCUGUGGAGGCAUUCUGCCCACAUCUUUAUCUGCUCUAUAUUAACAGUUGUGUGUGUUUGUAUGUUUUAUUGUGCCUACUUGAACAGUGCUCUCUGGUUUGUCUGUUUCUGUGCAAUAUUUCACUGUAGGCAAACACCUUCUCUCCAACUGGAACACCAUCUCAUUUCUGCUCAGUGUUGCUUCCCUACAUGAUGAUUGUUUUCUACAAGUUCACAAAAUCUACAUGUUUUAUAAGUUCAGGAAGUGUAUUUGUAGAAAAACUAUGGAAACAGAAAAAUGGACAUUGAUGGCAUGGAAGAGUAAAAUGAUGACCCUAUUAAUUUAUUUGAAAGUCAAAUUGAUUAUUGAUUGCCACUUUCCCCUUUAUAGUCCAUGCCACAGGAAAAAAAAUGUGAUGGGGUAAAGAAUCAGGGGAAUCCAUCAUUUUUGUCUACCUCAUGUUUCUCUCAACAAUUAAUCUCAUGGAAAAGAGCCAUCUCAAUCAUUUCCUCCCUUUUUCAGUAUUACAUGUGAUUUGACUGACCUAGAGGUGUUGAAAUAUGUGAUUUGGAUAAACCAAAGUAUGAUGGAGAACAGCAUGAAUUCAAAGACACUUGCUUUUUUGUUGAAAGGAUUCAAGCAGGAGGACCAUUCAAACAGAACAUUAUAAUAUACAUAGAGCCCUCUAGGUGUUAUUGGAUUCCAAUUACUAAAAAUGCCAUAAAAUGGGGGUUGGAACCCAGAAACAUAGACAACUACAAAUUCUCAAAGCUUUGCUAUACAUUGAGAAAUAUAUGGGAUGUGAAAAUAGAAACAGAACUUCUAAGAAAUAUCUAGCACAUCCUCCUGAUUUAUGUUAAAACAAGCAAGAGAGGUGCCAUUGGAGAGUCUUAGUAUUAUUAUUAGAUAUGGAAUCUUUUGCUUUGAGGUUCAAUCCUCCUCCUCUAUUUUUCUAUUAAUUAUGUUAUUCUAUGAUUGAAUGGGACUUAGUUAUUAGCCCAUAAUAAAUCUUUUACCACUACUCGCAUUAUUCCUGGAAAGUGUAUCCCUGGUUCUCCUCAACUGUGGCCAUGCUUGUCUUCAUAAAAAUCCUGCACAAUAGUUUAGACUAAGAGAUAAUUAUUGGCCUGAAGUCAGUAAAUUUCAUGAGUAAGCUCAGAUAUGAACCCAAGUCUUUCCCAGUCCUAGUGUAAUCACUAAGUUUUUGUUUUGGGAUUUUUAAAAGAUCCUCAGAUAGUCUUUUAAACAGAAUCAUGGAUCUAGUCAACAGCACAACAGCUUUAAAACCUAAACAAGAAAGAGUGAACUUUGCUCACAGAGAACAGCUGUUUUAUGUAAAGAGUUCUGCAGCUGGGAUGACUAGCUUUAACUGCUGGGAAGAUGCAGAAUUCUUAACCCAAACUUAAAUGGGGGAGAGGGAGAGGAAAAAGAACAUAGCCCAUAAUGGUGAGAGAUAACAGGUGGAAAGCCUUAUUUUGCCAUUGUGCCUUAAGGGUAAAAUCUGGCAGGCAGAAGUCGCUUCAGAACAAAAGCCACAGCAUCUGCUGUUCACUGCACUUCUCCAGUCCAUCUCUAUUUUUUCAGCCUCACUGACAACGUUUUGACAGCAGGAUUUUACAGAGUUUUCAUUUUUUAUUCUUUCAAAACUUUCAGAUACUUAAAUGAGGCUUUGGGUUUGAAGCCCCAUUUCUGUUUCAUCACAACAAUAAUUGAUGUUGAAAAGUGCAGUUUCCACUGCACUCAAGUAUGGCAAGUACAUGCUUGAUCCAUGAGAACAAAAUUAGAAGGAUAAUAGUUUCACUGGGAUCAACCACAAGGAUACCAAAAAACAAACAAACAAACCCCACCACAUUUGGACUUUUCAGUUUUCCAGAAGUUAUUCCCUCUCAUGUGGUGGAGUUAUCUGAUUCAUCAGAUGCUUAGGUUCUCAACCUAAGAGAAGAACAUAUGCUUGACCCAAUGGUGAGCAAACCUUUGGGAGGGGGGAAGAGAUCAGGCUGUGAUCAGAACAUCCUCUAUAUAGGAUGUGAUAAUUGAUACAAGAAAGAUAACAACGCAAGAAGAGAAUGAGAAGCAACCACGAUGAACAUAUUUUUGCAGAAUCCUGAAGGAGAGUAGAGUCUAUGGCCACAUUAUAAAUGUUGAGAAUACAUAGACAUGGAGCAUUGUUCUUCAGUUCUGCUAUAGUCAGCUUAGCUUUGGUAAGAGUACUUCUGAUCAAUCUCUCUAGGCUUUAUCUUCAACCAGCUACCAGUUGUAUUUUCCAUGAAUGCUUCUGGAGUCAAUAGGGAACAAAGGGAAUUGUGAAAAUAAAAAGAAUGCUAGAAAUGCUGUUUUCCCUUGCAGCAUGACAGCUUUCGUUGAAUUUUAUUGAAAAAGUGGGACUGCUACAUCUGGAUUGCAAACAUCCAGGAAAGCAACAGAUGGCAACAAAAUGGGACAGGGAAGUCUAAUGCUUUGCUGCCCUCUAUGAUCACGUAGACUUUUGCAACCCAGAAAUGGUAAUCCCAUGAAAAAUAGGGUAGUCAGAUAGAAUGGGGCACUUGGAAAAUUCCAGGUAUGAAAGUUAUGGGCAGACUGGUGCCUACAGGCAAAGUUUCAGCUGUAGCCUAUGCUCAUUGGGCACAAGUGAAAUCACACGCUUAAAUACACUCAAUGUCCAUUCCAGCAGUGCAUGACACAUGGACAGUUAAUAUCUGCCUUUUCUCAUUGUCCACAAACCCUCAAUAUUAUUUAUUCAAGAAAAAUCAUAACAACUCUGUGGAUAUAGUCCCUUUCUGCCUUGGCUACCAGCUUUAGGCUUUGCCACUUGCCCGAGAUGAACAAAGCUAAGGUUGGAAUUUAGCUGCAGUUUAAAAGGGUUUAGCCUGAAUUGAAACAGCUCCCUGUGUCUGCAGACAUAGAAUAGCCUAUUGUGGACAUUUACUCCGUCCUCUUUUGACUCCACCCAGACUCUCUUGUGCUGUCUGGAAUGUGACCUUAAGGCUGAGAAUCCUUCUCUAUCAGGAACAAGCAAAUCCAUUUUAGCCCAUUUUAUUUGAAAUCAGGGAAGGGGGGAGGAGCAUGGUGUUAUCCAGAGACUUGCAUUAUACAUACAGCUGCUUAUAUGAGCUAUAAAGGAUAAUUUUCUUGUAUUAACGUCAUAAAUUUUGUCCAGGCAGUGAGGCUUCCCACUGCAUAAUAGCUUAAUUUUUCAUUCUAAUAAUAACUGGCUGCCAGCUGAAAUGAAUGGGCGGAAAAAACAAACAUUUCUGUUCCAUGACAUGAUCUAUGACAGAUGUACAGAUUUGGGAGGCCCUCUGGCAGGGUGUCCUAACCUUCCUGCUCUUGACCCAAUUCCCUCCCCCCACCCAAAAAAGGGAAUUGACAUCAAGAUAAGAGAGUAAACCAUAAAAGAACUUCAAGAAUAAGUAAAAAUCCUCGUCCUCUAGUUAAAUUGUAAUUGGCAAUCAGCCUGAUUUAAAACCACAUUAAAUAGCCAGACAUUUUUAAAGUGCCUUCAGCUUAUGUGUGUAAAUAAAAGAAUGAAAACAUUUCCUUGUUUGUUUAUUUUUAAAAUGCAUGGUAUGGGAGCCUGUUAGAAAUAAUA